This 256-nucleotide ribosomal RNA is filed under the name uncultured bacterium. Its description in RNAcentral is "partial 16S ribosomal RNA". It matches the Rfam family "Bacterial small subunit ribosomal RNA", at positions 524 to 776 of the family's 1533-position model. The record is from RNAcentral.
UACGGAGGGUGCGAGCGUUGUCCGGAAUCACUGGGCGUAAAGGGCGCGUAGGUGGCCACUUCAAGCGUGCGGUGAAAGUCGGGGGCUCACCCCCUGAUCGGCCGUGCGAACUGGGGGGCUGGAGCACUGUAGAGGCAGGCGGAAUUCCGGGUGUAGCGGUGGAAUGCGUAGAGAUCCGGAAGAACACCGGUGGCGAAGGCGGCCUGCUGGGCAGUUUUGCUGACACUGAGGCGCGACAGCGUGGGGAGCAAACAGG